Molecule: ribosomal RNA, 232 nt
Filed under: uncultured bacterium
Lineage: Bacteria
Description: partial 16S ribosomal RNA
Rfam family: Bacterial small subunit ribosomal RNA
Source: RNAcentral
AACGAACGCUGGCGGCGUGCCUAACACAUGCAAGUCGAGCGCGAAAAGGGCAACCUGAGUAGAGCGGCGCACGGGUGCGUAACACGUGGGUAAUCUGCCUCAAAGUUUGGGAUAACCUUCCGAAAGGUUGGCUAAUACCGGAUAAGCUCACGAGGUCUUCGGACUUUGUGGGAAAAGGUGGCCUCUAUUUAUAAGCCAUCACUUUGAGAUGAGCCCGCGGCCCAUCAGCUAG